This 253-nucleotide long non-coding RNA is filed under the name Brassica napus (rape). Its description in RNAcentral is "long non-coding RNA (BNAP_LNC020993)". The record is from RNAcentral. Lineage: Eukaryota; Viridiplantae; Streptophyta; Magnoliopsida; Brassicales; Brassicaceae.
UUUGUUUCUUCCAAUCCCAGUAACAACCCAAUCCUGGUUUUAGCAAAAAAAAAAAGAAGGUUAUCAGGUAAUUAAAGAAAGAACAAAUCAAAUUUAAGAAACAUACAUACAGACCUCAAACGGUGGGGACAAAAAGUAGUCCAAAGGGUAGUCUUCACGAGACAGAGUGGUUUUAACGAGAAUUUGCCAUCUAGAAUAUAUAGAAUAAUCGGUGAAUUGUGUUGGUCUCAUCGUCGUGCGCAACACGCUUUCA